RNAcentral lists this signal recognition particle RNA (267 nucleotides) under Paenibacillus roseus. Its description in RNAcentral is "Bacterial large signal recognition particle RNA". It matches the Rfam family "Bacterial large signal recognition particle RNA". From Rfam's summary of the family: The signal recognition particle (SRP) is a universally conserved ribonucleoprotein involved in the co-translational targeting of proteins to membranes. The record is from Rfam by way of RNAcentral. Lineage: Bacteria; Bacillati; Bacillota; Bacilli; Caryophanales; Paenibacillaceae.
CCGUGCUAGAUGGGGAGGUAGCGGUGCCCUGUAACUCGCAAUCCGCUGUAGCGAGGUUGAAUUCCUGUUUGAGGUUAUGCUGAUGUGGGGUUUGGUGCUUGUGAACAGUGUUGACGGUCGGGUCCUCCGCAAUGGACACCUGUGAAUCCGGUCAGGUCCGGAAGGAAGCAGCCGUAAGCAGUAACGUUUAUGUGCCGGGGGAGUGCCUGACCCGAGCUGGAAUCAAGAAUACCGCCUGGGUCUCAUCAAUCAAGGGCAGGUGCACGG